RNAcentral lists this microRNA (22 nucleotides) under Bos taurus (domestic cattle). RNAcentral describes it as "bta-miR-2467-5p". Lineage: Eukaryota; Metazoa; Chordata; Mammalia; Artiodactyla; Bovidae. The record is from miRBase by way of RNAcentral.
ACCCCAAGCCUGGCUGCUACCU